UACGGGAGGCAGCAGGGGGAAUAUUGCACAAUGGGCGCAAGCCUGAUGCAGCCAUGCCGCGUGUAUGAAAAAGGCCUUCGGGUUGUAAAGUACUUUCAGUCGUGAGGAAGGUGUUAAGGUUAAUAACCUUAGCAAUUGACGUUAGCGACAGAAGAAGCACCGGCUAACUCCGUGCCAGCAGCCGCGGUAAUACGGAGGGUGCGAGCGUUAAUCGGAAUUACUGGGCGUAAAGGGCACGCAGGCGGUUAAUUAAGUUGGAUGUGAAAUCCCCGGGCUUAACCUGGGAAUGGCAUUCAAGACUGGUUAGCUAGAGUCUUGUAGAGGGGGUAGAAUUCCAUGUGUAGCGGUGAAAUGCGUAGAGAUGUGGAGGAAUACCGGUGGCGAAGGCGGCCCCUGGACAAAGACUGACGCUCAUGUGCGAAAGCGUGGGGAGCAAACG
This 439-nucleotide ribosomal RNA is filed under the name uncultured bacterium. Its description in RNAcentral is "bacterial SSU rRNA". It matches the Rfam family "Bacterial small subunit ribosomal RNA", at positions 340 to 774 of the family's 1533-position model. The record is from RNAcentral.